GCCCGCAAAUCAUGUUAAUUUAUGUCAGCAUUUUUCUAAACAUCAGUGCACUAAACUUGUUAAACUACCAUAUACUAUAGCACCUGCCUCCCUAAAUGCAAUUCUAUAAUGUGCUUUUCAAUCAAAUAUUCACUGUUUAUAGUCCAUUGCAAAGUUUUGAAAUAAAGGUGACAACAGAUUCAGAACAAUUCUAGAUGAUUUGAAUAUAAGUCAUAGUUUGUAGCAUUGGUCAAAUCUAGUGAGAUAUCCUAAUCCAUAUUGGUAAUGACUAGUACUGAUUUAACACCUUGAGCUUCUACUCACUGAAAUUGAUGGUAUCAGAUAGAAUCAAUAAAACUCGACACAGGUUGGUCAAGUUAGGCUAAUUUGAGACAAUUUGACCCCUCACAAGAAGAAAAAUAUAAAAAGAGAAGAAGGAAGGGAAGAUGAAAAAGAAGAGGAAGCCAAGGUGGAAGAAAUAUUAAAAUAUACCAAAAAAUACAACUGUAAACCAGAGGAGACAAUACUGCUGUUGUGUCUGCUAUUUGUUGUGGCCAUCAUAAUUGUUGUCUACAUAUAUUAUUGUAAACCAGAGGAGACAAUACUGCUGUUGUGUCUGCUAUUUGUUGUGGUCAUCAUAAUUGUUGUCUACAUAUAUUAUUGUAAUGCUUAUCAUCAAUUUCUCACUGCAUAUAAAAAUAGAUGAGAAGAUAUCGAGAGAGAGAGAGAGAGAGAGAGAGAGAGAGAGAGAGAGAGAGAGAGAGA
RNAcentral lists this long non-coding RNA (744 nucleotides) under Musa acuminata (dwarf banana). Its description in RNAcentral is "long non-coding RNA (MACU_LNC006511)". The record is from RNAcentral. Lineage: Eukaryota; Viridiplantae; Streptophyta; Magnoliopsida; Zingiberales; Musaceae.